CAAAAUGGGAGGUAAAUUUCUCCUAAGGCUAAAUAUCGGCGAGAGACCGAUAGCGAACAAGUACCGUGAGGGAAAGAUGAAAAGAACUUUGAAAAGAGAGUAAAAUAGUACGUGAAAUUGUUGAAAGGGAAACGAUUGAAGUCAGUCGUACCGACGAGAAAUCAACUUAUCGUGUGCGAACUUGUGGGCGUGCGUGAGUUUCGGCCUCGCUGUUUGCAUGUUUGUGCGCUUUGGGUGUACUUUUUCGUAUGGUAGGCCAACGUCAGUUUCGAUUAUCAUAAAAUGACCGGCGGAAUGUAGCUUCGAUUUCGGUUGAAGUGUUAUAGCCUCUGGUAGAUGUGGUGAUUGGGACUGAGGAUUGCAACGAAUACCCUUUGGGCUAUCCGUCUGACCUCUGAAAGUUGCUCAGGUGCCGAAAGCGUGCUUACGGUCAUCUAAGAUAACGUUCAACAGGCUAGAACGUGAUUAC
RNAcentral lists this ribosomal RNA (469 nucleotides) under Glomus sp. V3_1_43. RNAcentral's name for it is "eukaryotic LSU rRNA". It matches the Rfam family "Eukaryotic large subunit ribosomal RNA", at positions 288 to 641 of the family's 3401-position model. Lineage: Eukaryota; Fungi; Glomeromycota; Glomeromycetes; Glomerales; Glomeraceae. The record is from RNAcentral.